This 419-nucleotide ribosomal RNA is filed under the name uncultured bacterium. RNAcentral describes it as "bacterial SSU rRNA". It matches the Rfam family "Bacterial small subunit ribosomal RNA", at positions 358 to 774 of the family's 1533-position model. The record is from RNAcentral.
GGAAUAUUGGUCAAUGGUCGAUAGACUGAACCAGCCAAGUAGCGUGCAGGACUACAGCCUUAUAGGUUUUAAACUGCUUUUAUGCGAGAGUAAAGUCGGGUACGUGUACCCGUUUGCAAGUAUCGCAAGAAAAAGGACCGGCUAAUUCCGUGCCAGCAGCCGCGGUAAUACGGAAGGUCCGGGCGUUAUCCGGAUUUAUUGGGUUUAAAGGGAGCGCAGGUGGGUUUGUAAGUCAGCCGUGAAAGUUCGAUGCUCAACAUUGAAAUUGCGGUUGAAACUGCAGGUCUUGAGUAAACGCAGCGGCACUGGAAUUCGUGGUGUAGCGGUGAAAUGCUUAGAUAUCACGAAGAACUCCGAUCGCGAAGGCAGGUGCCGGGAGUUUUACUGACACUGAGGCUCGAAAGUGCGGGUAUCAAACA